Sycon ciliatum is the source of this 1042-nucleotide long non-coding RNA. RefSeq lists it as uncharacterized. The record is from RefSeq and is a predicted model, not a curated record. Lineage: Eukaryota; Metazoa; Porifera; Calcarea; Leucosolenida; Sycettidae. The transcript is spliced from 3 exons.
UUUAUAUUUGUGCAGCUGCACUGUUGAGCUUCUGAUGUAAAAUAAAUAAAUAAUAAUAUUCAAAUAAUAAUGUGUGCCGGUUAUCUCCUGAUCUUUCAAGUAAGCACCGAAGAUCAUGACAGUUAGCCCAAAGUACAUGUAAGUACCGGUAGAUGACUCUGGAUUGGUAAGUCACGGAGUCAUCGUGUCUAUGUCUACAAAAGAAUGAUAACAUUAUCGUCCCACUGUGUGUCCGUCAACAGGUUAUUAAUGUUAUCGUCAACAUGGCCACCAUGCGGCGCUUACUCCAAACCGUGAGCCAGCCUGUAGCCAGUCUGGUUGGCUUCCAUCACAUACUUCACAGCCAGGAAACGUCAGUGGCAGACUGGAUGAUGUUUUUGGUAUUUUGCCAACCCGACAGAAUCGAUUUUCGUGUCCCAAUCAUCAGUGGAUCGGAACUGAAGUCAGUUGGAAACCGGUUCACGGAUCGACUGCGUCGCGUGGCGAGUCUGGCGACAGGCCAUGAUGCAGCGCAGGCCGGCAGGCGGCAGUGUGGUCAGAUCUGACAACGUGGCUCAGUUGAUGCUGGCGGAACCUGCAUCAUCAUCAACUGCAUCAUCACUCUGCCAAGUGAGUACGAGUGUGCCUAGGCACCUGUACUGCUGUCUCCAUCGUGCACGUAACGUCGUUACGUGUGCCUCAGACUGAGUCAGUGCACAUGCUGCAUGGCACAGCCUUGUCGAAAUCGGCAAUUAUUUUUCAGCAGAAUAUGCUUUUACUAGUUUUAGAGGAAUGGUGAGUAGGCCUCGGAGGAUAACAUGGCUAAUGCUAGCAUUAUAGGUAGCGUUAAAGUGUGCGAUUUGGAAUGAGCACAAUGCUAGCACGGUUAUUUCUGUAACUACUUAGAACCUUCCAAGCUGGAAGGCUGUUGUCGUGUUUUUGUUUUGUUUUUUGUUUUUUUUUACUAGAGCCACGUAAACCCGUCAUGUGUGAGCCAUGAAUAAGGGGAAUGGUGGCGUGGUCUGGGAUGCUCUGCCGACCUUGGGUCUCGGCUUCAUCACAA